Long non-coding RNA from Mytilus trossulus (common blue mussel), 237 nucleotides. RefSeq lists it as uncharacterized. The transcript has 3 exons. The record is from RefSeq and is a predicted model, not a curated record. NCBI's taxonomy places the organism in Eukaryota, Metazoa, Mollusca, Bivalvia, Mytilida, Mytilidae.
GUAACUGCUUUUCUGACAGACUUUGCAGAGUUUUCUGCAUUUAAUACAGUUUAUAAGAAAUACUUUCCAAAGGACUUUCCUGCUAGAUCAUCUGCGCAAGUAGUAGCCGCACCACUGGGCGCACAGUUAGAAGUUGACGCAAUAGCUGUUAUAAAUAAAUGCUGACGAGUUGGUUGAGACAACGAUUCAUGAAAGAUCUUCAAGGAUGCAAUGAAUAUAUUAAUAAAUAAAUGUUAA